GAUUAAGCAAUUAAGCGUAUACGGGGGAUGCCUUGGCAAUCAGAGGCGAUGAAGGACGUGCUUAUCUACGAAAAGAAUCGGUAAGGCGAUAAGAUCCGUUAAUAACCGGUAGUGUCCGAAUGGGGAAACCCGAUGUAGUAACAUACAUCAUCAUUAUACGAAUAUAUAAUAUAAUGAAGCAAACCAGGAGAACUGAAACAUCUAAGUAUCCUGAGGAAAAGAAAUCAAUUGAGAUUCCCUUAGUAGUGGCGAGCGAAAGGGGAAAAGCCCAGAGUUUUAUCAAAUUAUUUUGUUAGUAGAAGUGUUUGGAAAAUCACACGAUACAGAGUGAUAGUCUCGUAUAUAAAAACAUAUAAUUUGUGUACUCAAUGAGUAAAACGGGACACGUGAUAUCCUGUUUGAAUACGGGGGGACCAUCCUCCAAGGCUAAAUACUCCUGAUUGACCGAUAGUGAACUAGUACCGUGAGGGAAAGGUGAAAAGAACCCCUAAAGGGGAGUGAAAAGAUACUGAAACCGUAUACGUACAAGCAGUAGGAGCAUUUUUUUUAUAAUGUGACUGCGUACCUUUUGUAUAAUGGGUCAGCGAGUUAUAUUCUAUAGCAAGGUUAACUGUAUAAGGGAGCCGUAGGGAAACCGAGUCUUAACUGGGCGUUAAGUUGUAGGAUGUAGACCCGAAACCCGGUGAUCUAACCAUGAGCAGGUUGAAGGUUAGGUAAUACUAACUGGAGGACCGAACCAACUAAUGUUGAAAAAUUAGUGGAUGACUUGUGGUUAGGGGUGAAAGGCCAAUCAAACCGGGAGAUAGCUGGUUCUCCUCGAAAGCUAUUUAGGUAGCGCCUCGUAAACUCAUCUUUGGGGGUAGAGCACUGUUUUGGCUAGGGGGCUACUCCAGCCUACCAAUCCAAUGCAAACUCCGAAUACCAAAGAAUGUUAUUACGGGAGACACACAGCGGGUGCUAACGUCCGUUGUGGAAAGGGAAACAACCCAGACCGCCAGCUAAGGUCCCUAAGUCAUAAUUAAGUGGGAAACGAUGUGGGAAGGCUUAAACAGCCAGGAUGUUGGCUUAGAAGCAGCCAUCAUUUAAAGAAAGCGUAAUAGCUCACUGGUCGAGUCAGCCUGCGCGGAAGAUGUAACGGGGCUAAAUUAUGUACCGAAGCUGCGGCAACAAAUAAUUUUGUUGGGUAGAGGAGCGUUCUGUAAGCUGAAGAAGGUAAGUUGUGAAAUUUACUGGAAGUAUCAGAAGUGCGAAUGCUGACAUGAGUAACGAUAAAAUGGGUGAGAAACCCAUUCGCCGAAAGACUAAGGUUUCCUUUUCGAUGUUAAUCAGAAAAGGGUAAGUCGAAUCCUAAGGUGAGGCUGAAAAGCGUAAUCGAUGGAAAAACAGGUUAAUAUUCCUGUACUUUAUAUUAUUGCGAUGAAAGGACGGAGAAGGCUAGAUUAGCCGAGUGUUGGAAAUCUCGGUUUAAACAUGUAGGUUAAUUUUUCAGGAAAAUCCGAAAAAUAAAAACUGAGGUGUGAUGACGAAAUUCUUAGGAAUUGAAGUAAUUAAUGCCAUGCUUCCAAGAAAAUCUUCUAAGCUUCAGAUAAUAUAGAACCGUACUACAAACCGACACAGGUAGUUAGGUAGAGAAUACUAAGGCGCUUGAGAGAACUCGGGUGAAGGAACUAGGCAAAAUGGUGCCGUAACUUCGGGAGAAGGCACGCUAGAAGUAAGUAAAAAGACAUGCUCUUUAAGCUGAAACUAGCCGAAGAUAAUAGCUAGCUGCAACUGUUUAUUAAAAACACAGCACUGUGCAAACACGAAAGUGGACGUAUACGGUGUGACGCCUGCCCGGUGCCGGAAGGUUAAUUGAUGGGGUUAUCUUUUUUUUUUCUAAAAGAAAAGCUCUUGAUCGAAGCCCCGGUAAACGGCGGCCGUAACUAUAACGGUCCUAAGGUAGCGAAAUUCCUUGUCGGGUAAGUUCCGACCUGCACGAAUGGCGUAAUGAUGGCUAGGCUGUCUCCACCCGAGACUCAGUGAAAUUGAAAUGGCUGUGAAGAUGCAGUGUACCCGCGGCAAGACGGAAAGACCCCGUGAACCUUUACUAUAGCUUGAUAUUGAAGAUUGAACAUCGAUGUGUAGGAUAGGUGGGAGGCUAUGAAGUAUAAACGCUAGUUUAUAUGGAGCCGUCCUUGAAAUACCACCCUUUAAUGUUGAAUAUUCUAAUGUUACUCCGUCAUCCGGAGUGCAGACAGUGUCUGGUGGGUAGUUUGACUGGGGCGGUCUCCUCCUAAAGAGUAACGGAGGAGCACAAAGGUCAGCUAAUUACGGUCGGAAAUCGUAAGUUUAGUGCAAAGGCAUAAGCUGGCUUAACUGCGAGCGUGACAACGCAAGCAGAUGCGAAAGCAGGUCUUAGUGAUCCGGUGGUUCCGAAUGGAAGGGCCAUCGCUCAACGGAUAAAAGGUACUCCGGGGAUAACAGGCUAAUACCGCCCAAGAGUUCAUAUCGACGGCGGUGUUUGGCACCUCGAUGUCGGCUCAUCACAUCCUGGGGCUGAAGUAGGUCCCAAGGGUAUGGCUGUUCGCCAUUUAAAGUGGUACGCGAGCUGGGUUUAGAACGUCGUGAGACAGUUCGGUCCCUAUCUGCCGUGGGCGUAGGAGAAUUGAAGGGGGUUGCUUCUAGUACGAGAGGACCGAAGUGAACGUACCGCUGGUGUUCGGGUUGUCAUGCCAAUGGCAUUGCCCGGUAGCUAAGUACGGAAAAGAUAAGAGCUGAAAGCAUCUAAGCACGAAACUUGCCCUAAGAUGAGUUCUCCCUGACUCUAAGAGAGUCCUGAAGGGACGUUGAAGACAACGACGUUGAUAGGCUAGGUGUGUAAGCGUAGCGAUACGUUGAGCUAACUAGUACUAAUGACCCGUGAGGCUUAAUCUU
This is a ribosomal RNA of Candidatus Tachikawaea gelatinosa, 2913 nucleotides long. It matches the Rfam family "Bacterial large subunit ribosomal RNA". NCBI's taxonomy places the organism in Bacteria, Pseudomonadati, Pseudomonadota, Gammaproteobacteria, Enterobacterales, Enterobacteriaceae. The record is from Rfam.